GAGUUUGAUCCUGGCUCAGGAUGAACGCUGGCGGCGUGCCUAACACAUGCAAGUCGAACGAAGCAUGCCGGAGGAAGUUUUCGGAUGGAAUCCGGGAUGACUGAGUGGCGGACGGGUGAGUAACGCGUGGGUAACCUGCCCUGUACAGGGGGACAACAGUUAGAAAUGACUGCUAAUACCGCAUAAGCGCACAGGAUCGCAUGGUCCGGUGUGAAAAACUCCGGUGGUACAGGAUGGACCCGCGUCUGAUUAGGUAGUUGGCGGGGUAACGGCCCACCAAGCCGACGAUCAGUAGCCGACCUGAGAGGGUGACCGGCCACAUUGGGACUGAGACACGGCCCAAACUCCUACGGGAGGCAGCAGUGGGGAAUAUUGCACAAUGGGGGGAACCCUGAUGCAGCGACGCCGCGUGAGUGAAGAAGUAUUUCGGUAUGUAAAGCUCUAUCAGCAGGGAAGAAAAUGACGGUACCUGACUAAGAAGCCCCGGCUAACUACGUGCCAGCAGCCGCGGUAAUACGUAGGGGGCAAGCGUUAUCCGGAUUUACUGGGUGUAAAGGGAGCGUAGACGGCAGAGCAAGUCUGAAGUGAAAGCCCGCGGCCCAACUGCGGGACUGCUUUGGAAACUGCCCGGCUAGAGUGCUGGAGAGGUAAGCGGAAUUCCUAGUGUAGCGGUGAAAUGCGUAAAUAUUAGGAAGAACACCAGUGGCGAAAGGCGGCUUACUGGACAGGAACUGA
Molecule: ribosomal RNA, 735 nt
Filed under: uncultured bacterium
Lineage: Bacteria
Description: bacterial SSU rRNA
Rfam family: Bacterial small subunit ribosomal RNA
Source: RNAcentral